This is a non-coding RNA of Paramormyrops kingsleyae, 1743 nucleotides long. The record is from RefSeq and is a predicted model, not a curated record. Lineage: Eukaryota; Metazoa; Chordata; Actinopteri; Osteoglossiformes; Mormyridae.
CAUAUGACCAGUGUACAAUGCAGUUCACCCAUUGCCAAAAAGUGAUUACACUCAAUAUCUCUUUACUGAAUGGCUCUUUCUGCCUAAUUUUAAUUUCUUUACACUCUUCUGGGUUGUAUUUACAUGAUUAGUAAACAUCUAACCCAUUUUUAUGACUUAAAACACCUCUAUAGGACCAGUAUAAUGUAGUUCACCCAUUGCCAAAAAGUGAUUACACUCAAUAUCUCAUUACUGAGUGGCUCUGUCUGUCUGACAGUUUCUUCUAGUAGCCUCCAUAGCAAGGACUGAGGUCCCACAAUGACACAUACACCACACAUACUACUACUACUGCAACAAAUGAAUUCAUCUGCUCUUUUUUACAUUGUAAAUCUCAGGGCAUGCCUCUGUACUGUCUAUAUUUAUGACUGUUCUCUUUAUGACUUAUUGUGUGUUUUGUAAUCUCCAUUUGUUUAUCACUACUAUUACUAAUAACUGACCAACACACAUUUCUUGUAUUCCAAACAUGCUUUGCAAGCAAACAAUUUCUGAGGAAGAUUCUGAUGUAAAAUCACUUUUAAAAGAUUUUGACCAUUUGUGUAAUUAUUAAAGGCACAGUUAAAAUGCUCUAAUAAGGGCAACCCUUAUGGGUUACUUGGCACUCAUUAAAGCUUUGUUACGUUAAGGUAACAAAAAAGACAAUUACUUUUUCUGCAACAGGUAAAAGAUGUUUCAACCACUAUUGUUACCAGCUAGUGGGCCACAUACAAUAAUUCUAACUUGUUUAAAAAUGUAUCAUUUAUUCACAGUUUGCUGAGUGCAUCUUGCUUGGUUGUUCAGUGUCAUUUGACAAUUCAUCCUUAAGCAUGAAUGCCACAAGAGAGCAGAUUGCUGUAUGUCUUCUUCAGAAUACAGAAGACCUGAUUGACCUUUGUCAAUUCUGUGGGGAGCAGGCUGGUGACACUAAUUGGAUUGGCUGUAACAUUUGUCCAAGAUGGUACCACAGGGGCUGUGUCAACAAACCUAGAAAAAAGCAGUAUUUGCGAGGCCUGCGAGUAAAGUCUAUUCUUCACCCUGGUGUCUUGUACAUAUAUUAGUUCUUCUUGCAUGUAUAUAGUUUUUAAUAUUUUGGUCUUACAAGCAUCUGUUUUUAUUUUAGCACUAAGUAUUGAAAAAUAAACACGUUGAAAGUAAUACAAAGUUCUGUUUUGAUUUAUAUUUUUUUGCUUCUAUGUUUUUUGGGGAAAUAUUAAGAAAACCCUAUGUCCAACCACAUUUAUUUUAUCGAAGAUAAGAACACUCCUAAACUUAAGAAAUCUAAUCCUGUAAAUAUAACCCAGAAGAGUGUAAAACAAUUAAAGUCAGGCAGAAAGAGCCAUUCAGUAAUAAGAUUUUGACUGUAAUCACUUUUUGGCAAUAGGAAAACUGCGUUGUACAAGUUAUACGGGUCCUAUAGAGGUGUUUAAAGUCAUAAAAAUGGGUUAGUUGUUUACUAAUCAUGUAAAUAAAUCUAACAAGAGGCCUAUAAAGUUAAACUGAAGCAGAAAAUGUAUGUCAGUAAAAAGGUAUUGAGUGUAAUCACUUUUUGGCAAUCGGUGAACUGCAUUAUACUGGUCAUAUGGAGAUGUUUAAAGUCAUAAAAAUGGGUGAGAUGUUUACUAAUCCUGUAAAUACAACCCAGAAGAGUGUAAAAAUUUUUAAAUCAGGCAGAAAGAGCCAUUCAGUAAAGAGAUAUUGAGUGUAAUCACUUUUUGGCAAUGGGUGAAC